This is a non-coding RNA of Spironucleus salmonicida, 74 nucleotides long. The record is from Rfam. Lineage: Eukaryota; Fornicata; Diplomonadida; Hexamitidae.
GCCCUAUUAGCUCAAUUGGAUAGAGCGCUAGCCUUCUAAGUUAGAGGUUGAGGGUUCGAGUCCCUUAUAGGGUA